This 31-nucleotide non-coding RNA is filed under the name Homo sapiens (human). The record is from RNAcentral. Lineage: Eukaryota; Metazoa; Chordata; Mammalia; Primates; Hominidae.
UUGUCUUUACAGAAGGGAACAUUGAGACCCA